UUCUCAUGGGAUUUGUAGUUCUGAAUCUAUCCAGAGAGGUUUGCAGCUCUUGAGAGCACGGAAGAAGAAUUUGACAUUUAGCAUGAGUAUACCCAAGAAAAUAUUUAAAACAGAGCAAUUCCAAAGACAUUGCUGUGUCCCGUUUUGUUCGGCUUCCUCCAAAUGUAAUAGUUUUCAUUCUUUUCCUACCGAUUCCGACUUGAGAAAACAAUGGCUGAUAAACAUACGGCGUGAUCCAUACACAGUUACCGCUCACACCAAAGUUUGCAGCGGACAUUUCACUUCUGAUCAGCUCAUAGAGCCAACAUCUCUGAAAGGUGGUCGGAGGCUGGUUAAAGGUGCCGUACCAACAUUGUUUGAAUGGAAUAUCUGUGAAAGUAAAACAGAACCACCGCCUCCUCUACAGGUACAAGAAUGGCACAGUUUACAGAAGGACCAUAAUUACUGCUUCAUCCCCGGGCCCCCUGCAAAGAAAAGGUCAUCAUCUUCUAAAUUGGACAUGUCAAUAUCAGCAACAGAAGACCAGUCCAAAUACGUGAAGAACCUGAGGAAAAACAUUUGGGAGCAAUUUAUCAAGCAAGAGUUUUGUUUACAACGGUUUGCAGGCUCUGAUGAAGACAUCCAGUUUUAUACCAGAUUUCCAAGCUACAAACAUUUGAUGGCAUUUUGGUUCUUGAUUGAGCCUUGGAUUCAUAAAAUGGUCAGGAUGUCAAGAGCUAAAUUAGCUGCCAAGGGAAAUGAAGAAAUGAUGAUCUCUGCACCGUCAUCAGAGAGGCAGCAUCUUCAACCUGUUGACGAGUUCUUUCUUUUCCUCGUUUUUCUGUCACUUGGUAUGAAAGAAAGGGACCUUGCAAUUCGAUUCAACGCUCACCAGUCCAUCGUGAGCCGCAUUAUUGCAAUGUGGACAAAUUUUCUUUUCACUGUUCUGGGGUCUCAGUGCAUCUGGCUUACACGGCAGAAAGUACAAGCUUAUCUCCCUGAGGAAUUUAUGGAUUUCCCUGACACCCAGGUGAUCCUGGACUGUACAGAGCUGAGGUGUCAAAUGCCAUCUUCACCUCUUCCCCAGAGGGACAUGAACCCCUCUCACAGAUCCCUCUGCACCAUGAGAGCCUUGAUUGGCAUAGCUCCACACGGUGCUGUAACAUUCAUCUCUGAUCUAUAUAGAGGUUCAUUCAGUAUUAGCGAGCUAUUCAAACGCUCUGGCAUUGCUGAAAACUUGACCGAAGACAUGGCAGUGAUGGUAAAUAAGGGCUUCCUGAUUAGGGAUUGUUGUGAGUGUAAAGUGUACUCCCUUUCUUUUCUGUCCAAGCACCCAGGAGACCAGGCCACAGCAAGACUCAAAAUGCACGUGGAGCAAGUCAUUGGGAGGGUAAAACAGAAUAAACUUUUUCAUGGCAUUGUCUCUCUGUCACAGGCCUACAGCAUUAACCAGCUGUUUGUAGUUGCAUGUUUGCUGUCAAAUUAUCAGAACACUGCUUUAGUUAAUAAAGUGGUUCAUUGAGGAUCUGUGGGCUUAAGCCACAAAAUGAACACAAAGAUUUGAUCUACGAAGCUGUGAAAAAAAACUACUUGCAACAGAUAAAUUUCUGUCACUUGAGUCGAAAGCAGACAAGAAAACUGAUUCUGUUGUGCUGCUAAAUUAGUUCUUGAAAGAUAGUUGGAACUCAUUCUGUGUUGAGAAAUGCUUUAUGUUUGGUUUUGCAGUUUGGCAUUGUAUUCUUCACUAAGUUUGACUAUUGUUUGAAUUAAACUAGUUUUUAUGUUUUGAAUCUGAAGCAGACUGACGUGAAUUGGAUUUAUUUCAAUAAAGUUUUGGUUGCUGAAUUGGAAUAUUUGAUAGAAAUUCUAUACUUGUCUUGUCAAAUGCAUUGAGAUUAUACUACAAAAAAGCUGAAUAAAAAAUACUGUACUAAGGUAAUUGAAAUAAUUUGUAAAGUUCAUCUCUUAAAAUCCUGUGUUUAACUGCAGAUCCAUGUUUUGUCAUCAACGAUCAUAAAUAAAAAUAUGUAGCAUAAAAUAAGUGAUUUCAUAAAUAUUCACUUACUGAAACGUGACUGACCUAAUUCAACAGAGGUCCAAUUGGCCCAAUUGGUGCUAAUAGUCUCACAGUGAGAGAAAUGGAUAUCACCUGAUUGCUGUAAGUGUCUUGAGUCAUUGUAAUAGAAAGGAAUCUUUUUUCACUUUGACAUUAAUGUUGUUGGGUUUUUUUUGUUUUGUUUUGUUUUUUGUUUUUGUCACAAAAGCCAAAUUUCUUUGAGUCAAAUUUUAUAGCUUUCUAAAAGUAAUAAAAAUGGAUAUAAUAUUCAAAGAGGUGAAUACUUUUUAUAGGCACUAAAAGCUUUGGGGUUUAUCUGAUUAAAUGUACUUAAAUUAAAAGGUGUAAAUUGUAUUUACAUAAGUAUUUUGUUGGUCUCACAUGACUGCAUGAUUAAUUCAGUGGCCUACACAAACUGUAAAUCCAUUUCAUGCUUCUGAAGCUUUGCUUCAAACAUAUUUUUAGCAUUGUUUUGGUGACUAACACACCCUGCAAACAUAGGAAACACAUUUGUUAUUAGUGCUGUCACUGUUUACAUGUAAAAAUUGAAUAUGCAGAAAAUUAUCGUGCGGAGUUUUGCAUAAUAAGCAGUUCCACUGUGUGAAACAGUACCUGCUACCUAACGAGAUUAAUCAAAAAGCUUAAGCUGAAAAAAAUUAGGAUGUAGAUUUUAAAUUUAACAUCACCUUCAUGGAAAGAACCCAAUCGGAGCAUGGUUCAGUGCCAUGGUUACUGAUCCAUCUUUUGAAAAAGAGACCUUUUGUUUAGUGUGCCUUCAAACCACUACUACAACAGUUUUGAUGAAACAACCUUAAUAACUGCAAUACCAAAUUGAUUUAUGUGGUCAGUAUGAACUUUAAAUAAAAAAAAUGUUGUCAUUUAUGAAAUUAUUUAAAUGGUUAGACUUGAUAUGUUUUUAGUUACGUUUUUGACAAUGCUCCACUGACUUGAACCCCAUGAAUGGGACAAACAACUUCUCACAUCUACACAUUUAGUGUGUGUGGUGACUCACUUUUCCUCAUUGUCCUGCAGCACUAUGUUCUUACUGACUUCUCCUGAAAAAAACUAUUUUUAGUGAACACUGAAUAAAAUCACAAAUAUAAGUCUCAUUAGGAUUGUUUCUGCUUCUGGGGCCAUGACCCCAGUCAUAUAAUGAAACCCCAAGUGUAAUCUUAAGAUCAUUUUAAAAACCAUUUGUUAGAAGGCAAACUGGAGAAAAUAGUAAACACUUAGAAAACACGGCCAGAAGUAACUGUCCAAAUAUUGGCACAUAUGCAGUCUGUCUAUUACGGCUGCAUGAUAUUAGAAGAUCAUCUACUGAGAACAUUGUUUUUAAAUAUUAUGAUAAUGAUGAUACUAAUCGCAAUACAUUUGAAUUUUGUCCACUCCUGCCUUUCCCUGAUCUAAAUCCCAUAGUGAAUCUGCAGAAUAUUGUCAAGAAGAAGAUUUAAAAAAAAAAUUUUUAAAAACAUGCGACAAUGCAGAUAAGCUGAAAGCCACUAUUAAGCAAUCUGCAGUGGGAGUUUUUGCCACAGGAGGCUAAGUCUUAUAUUGGGUGAAUAUAAUAUAGAGUACCAGGACAUAUUUUUCUCUAGGCAGACAUUUCUGUUUUGAAACCCAUCUUCUUUGUAUCUUUUGCAAUACAAACUUUUAAAAACCACAUUUUUUGUUUUUGGUUUUUGUAAAUUAUAAUCAAAAUAAUAACGAAAGUAACAGAAAUAGAUCUGUUAAAUCAGGUGUGUUCAUCCAUCCAUUACUCUGUGUAUCUACAUGAAUUACUAAAGUAAGCUUCCAACGUACAAUCACAAUAAUGUUUUAGAUUCUAUUUGUGUUUUAGUUUCUAUAUGCUUUAAAAAAUAACUAAAUAAAUAUGAGGAAGUGAACACAUAGCCUAAACUAAAAGCAGGCAGUCUCUGUAUCUCAGGUCAGGGCAAAAAACAGGCAAGACACUAUUGAAUAUUUUUAAAAGGACAUUUUCUUCAUCAACUUACAUAGAAGGCUACUUACUUAUUCUUAUCACAAAAGUACAGGAACAUACGCUUUAAGGCCCCUGAUUUAUGUGACAACAUGACCAUUUCUUUCUGAAAUAUCUUUCUCUUUCAUGUUGAAUAAAUAUCAGGGAUUUAAAUUAAAUAUUUUAGUUUCAAGAAAAGGGAGAGAGACAAACCAACAACUAAGUUCUUCUCUUGGCAGGGGAUAUUGGUAUUGCUACCACCACCUACACUGGACGGUUCCAUACUAGCAAAACAUUCAAAGCGGCCUAUGAUGUGCUCUUUCAUUUAAUCUGGGAUUUAUUUGUGGUUGGCUAAGCAUCAAUAUGUAUUCAUAUUUAUACAUAUCCACACAGUGUAUAUUGAUGAGCACCACAGGUUUUAUCUUUUCCAGUGGAAUCCAAAUGUGACCAAGAUACAGCGUUCCUGUGUCCAGGAAGCAAUAAAUAGUUUAUAUUUCCCAGGAAGAAGGAAAUCUUCCACCUCCAGGAAGAGAAAAAUAGGCAAGUGGUUUUAAAUUAAGCCUGUUUAAAUGGUGUUCUUAGUGACAUUUGCACUAAGCAUAUAAUACAAACUGACAAGACUUUAGGUAACAGUAUUAGGUGUCAAAUUUAUGUUAUUGGAGCUGAGAAUGUGAGAUCUCAUAGUUUGGGUCAUUUAUGUUUUCUACAUAAAUGCAGUUUUAAAGCCUUAUUCAAAUCAGUUCUCCAUUUUCAGAAUCUUUUAGGAUCAACCCAGGCACCAAGACUAUACUUCAGAAGAUAAAUAUAUUUAGCAUUAAAAGUUAGUCAUGCUAGUACUCUUGUGCUAAUUAUGUUUUCUUAUUAAAAUGUAAUACUUCUAACAUGCCAACUAAGCAAAGUAAGCCAGUCUGACCUAAUAAAUGAAGAAGUAAUUAUUUCUAUCAGUAAUUUUUUGCUCUUUGUUUUCACACGUCUUAGAAAAUACUCCAAGAUGCAAUUUUCUCGUGUUUGUAUAUCUCUUUGCCGGCCACUCAACGUCUGAAUUGUCACAACAGCUGAACAGAUGGUCACUUGUCCUGAUCCUGGUUCUGUUGGAGGUUUCUUCUUCUUAAAAUUGAGUUGAUUCUCUCCACUAUCCCUUAGUGCUUGCUCCGGAUUAGUUAGACCAUGGAAGUAAAAUUUCAUUGCAAUCUGAUGGAUUUGACAUUUAAUGAUCCACUGAAUCUGGCUGUAGUAAUGUGAAUCCACUGCCUUGCACUGUACAUAACAGGAUUUAAAUUGGGCCUAUAAUUUGCUUUGACAUGGCUAAUCUUAACUAGAGCAAUAUAAAUUAAUUUAAUUGGGAAAAGACAAGCAAAUGUGCUGGAGGGUUAACACUUUUAUUGCAAGAUUAAAUAUCAAGAUAAAUACUUUCAGUUAAAUUUUAAGGUCUUGCUUAAAAAAACAAUUUGCUUGUCUGCACUAGUAAAAUACUGGCAGUAAUUUUAUUGCAUUUCAUUUUCACACAGUCAUGUUUUGAAGUUGAUGAACCCCUGGUAGAAUACAGGUGACAGGCAAGACACUGAUGAAGUGGAGUUUAAUCAAGCAAAAAAAAUGAAUAAAAUAAAUAAAUAAUUCCAGAGUUACAAAUAAAACUGUUUAGAACAGGUGAGUCUAAUUAAAUGUGCUGCAGGUUUGUGGGGGGUCAACGCUAGAGAAGCUGAAGGAUGAUGGCCAAACAAUACACAGUAAAAACAAAUGAAAGAAUAAACAUAACCAAGAAGAACACAAAACUCAAAACCAGAAUGACUAAACUCAGUCCAUAGCAGUUAUUUCUGUUUUUGUGCCAAAUUGUUUUCUUGGAACAAGAAAAGGUUUUGCUUUUUCACAAUUUUUAUUAAAUAUUCAUAAAUAAACCAAUGAACAUUUGUGCAAUAAAAUCUAGCAUUUUUGGAAGAAUUUAGCUUUCCCAAUACUGUAUCAAGUGAAUGACAUUGAAACUCAUGCUUUGACAUCAUCUGAAUUUGCCUUCAAGUCAGUGUGGUGCCACAAAGUCCAUCAGAUGAAAUGUUCUCCCCUGUGUUACCACAGGCCAUGUCAUGAACACAGUGCCAACGGUGUCAGUGGGAGUCAGUGGGAUCUGCAUGUUCUGAAACACUUCACUCUGCCAAAUUGUAAUCAUCUGGUGUUGUGGGAGUAGUUUAUAGCUGCCAGGAAUUUAUUCAUUAUUUUAAAUUCUAGUAUUAUCUUAUUCAGGGACAUAAGAGACAAACAAACACACUCAUUCCUAUCUAAAAUUGCCAAUUAACCUACACUGCAUGUUUUUGCAGGUAAGCUGAGCACACACAAAAAUUAUAAAUAUUUAAGUUUAUAUACGUGUUUUUUCUCCAUAUGAAAUAUCACAAGCAAAAUAUUGAUAUAAUACAGAAGAAAAAUGAUCUGGCAGAUCAGUUAGCCAUCUUCCUUAUUUAUAUUUUCAUUUUAAGAGUAGUCCUAGAAUCUCACUCUGUCACAAUAACACUCUGUAUGUGUUACUUCGUUUCAUCCAUUAGCCUUCUCUGUGUUCUUCUUUCUUCCUUUUUGGCAGCCCAUACUUUAAAUCUUCUGUUCAAAACAUAAAGCUAUGAAAAUAUUUCCCCCUUUACAGCUUUCUUAUGGUUAUGUUUUUUGUUAUAACUAAAUGUUUCAGAUAAUCAAACUGAUCUUGGUGUCAGACAAAUUUAACUCGUGUAAAUGCAAGCAACCGAUCCCCAAAAUUAAAAUUUUUCUUAUUAAGGAGAUAUAAAGCUAUACUUUAUAUAUAAAAAAGUACAUAUGGAUGAUGCAGCAGGUCAAUGAUUAUAAGCAUUUGCACCUUAAUGGCUUCCAAAAAUCCACAUGGAGGUAAAGUAAUUGAGGAGUGGCCUAUUCAAAGUUUUGACACUAAUCCAAACAAUCUAAAUUUCAUGUUUAAAGUGCAACUUUAAACAUGCAAUUUAUGAUCAAAUGUAGCUUUCAUUUAAACAAUAAUGUACAGAAAAGGAUUAAAACAUAUAUGUAAAAGACUUCUUACAGGAUUGCGGGGAGCUAGCAUCCAUCCCCAGCAAACACAGGGUGAAGGUCAUGGUACACCCCAGGCAGGAUGAAAAUGGCAAAGCAGAACUUAUCUGUACGAAGGCAAAUAACAGUGCUAUAUUCAUAGCAUACAAUGUCUGUACACAAUUUUACAUUAGCUUUUUUUUAAUGAAUCACACCUGUUUUAUCACUUUACACUUUUUACUCCUCUAUCAAUGUUAUUGUUAUUUUCUUUGGAUUCAUUCCUUGAUAAAGUGAAUCAUGUCAUGCUUCCUUCAUCUUUUCUGCCCACAAGCUUCUGAUGGGAGCCAACAUUCCUCACGGAGAAAGAAAGUUCUCCUGGAAGAUGUUGUCAGGACGACUGUGUUUCUAUUGGUGGCUAUGGAAGUACCAUGGCAACCAUAGACCUCAGUCCUCUUAAGUUCAUUAAGUGUUGGAGUCGGUGGCUGGUGAAGAACUCCAAGUAACAAACAUUUUAACUACAAAGUGUUUGGAAAAGUUUAAACCUGAAGCAUCACACACUUUGCUGAGGUUUAGCUCAUCUGCACUGACUCAUUCAGGGUCUCUUUGUCCACCAAAUCAAUACAACCAUUCAACCAUUCUCUAAAUUUGUCUUUUUUCCUCAGGUGCCAGCAUUUCUUAAAAAAGGAAUGUGGAGGAUUAGACCACAAAAUGGAGAAAUCCUGAUCCCUCAAUUUAAUUCAAUCAUUCUUUCUAAAGCACCUGAUUAAAUAAAGAACACAUGCAAGCAAGCAUUGAGGGACAGCAUUGUUUGGGAUUAUGUUAACACAAAUAAGCCUAAAAGGCUUUGACGUUUUAUCUCUCCGGACAAAAGUCACAUGUUGGAGAUGAAGCUGCUGACGUUUUUUUUCUGUUCAUUUCCAAAUCAAGUGUCCUAUUUUAAAUUUGUGGCUUUUUAUUAUGUGGGUGGGCUAAACAAAACGUGUGUGUCAGGGGGAUUUAUAAAAGGUCUGAAGGGUCGAAUCAGAUCUCAGUUGGAGAGUUUUAGCAUUAGAGGAGCUGUUUUCACUCAGAGAGAAGAAAUAAGAUGCAGAUCUCGCCUGUGCAGUUGUUUGCUGUGAUGGUUCUUGUCAUCUUUACCACCGGCCAUUGUCAACAGAAUGACAAUCGCCGAGCGGUGACUGAACACCAGCUGAUGCACGAUCGUGGUCGAAACAUCCAGAGUCUGAAAAGGCUCAUCUGGCUUUCCAGCGCUAUGGAGGGUCUUCACACUGCACAGACCCGCUCAGCUGCUGCUGCUACUGCUUUCACCCCUUCAAAGCUCCUGAGCUCCCCUCUGAAUCCAGUUCUGAUCCCAGCUGGAGAGAGCCCCCAAUCUCCUCAGGUCCAGAACAUGCUGAGAGACUUCUUUUAUCCCCAUUUGAAUCAUCUCUUGGAUGAAGAGCCCUAACACCAUGCAAAUGCACAUGAAACAUAAAAUAAAAUGCACAGAAAGAUU
This is an RNA transcript of Xiphophorus couchianus (Monterrey platyfish), 8481 nucleotides long. It is a transcript of the gene named parathyroid hormone 4, with no coding region annotated. The record is from RefSeq and is a predicted model, not a curated record. NCBI's taxonomy places the organism in Eukaryota, Metazoa, Chordata, Actinopteri, Cyprinodontiformes, Poeciliidae. The transcript has 5 exons.